Aquila chrysaetos chrysaetos is the source of this 6986-nucleotide long non-coding RNA. RefSeq lists it as uncharacterized. The transcript has 3 exons. NCBI's taxonomy places the organism in Eukaryota, Metazoa, Chordata, Aves, Accipitriformes, Accipitridae. The record is from RefSeq and is a predicted model, not a curated record.
CUGGCUCUAAGUGACUCUGCUUGAGCAGGGGGGUUGGACCAGGUGACCUACAGAGGUCCCUUCCAACCUCAACCAUUCUGUGAAAUGAAGCAUGAUUGUCACAAGCAACCUAUAGCUAGGCUUCUCUCACUAAAGAGAGAGGAGGAGGUGAAAAAGCCAAACCUUACACACACAGUCCGAAGUCUGAAGACGUAAUUCCUAAGCACGGAUAGAGGGCAAGGUUUGAAGGUUGACUGUUAUCCUUCUGAAGCAAAAUGCUUGUGAAGCAUGCUUUUGCAUUAUUUUAGACCUCUCAUCCUGUUUGAGUAAGGACCUUCAGUGGAAAUGUAUUAAUUUCCAUUUUUAUGUUUAUACCUAAUACAGCAAUCUAGCAGAGAACAGUAUUUUUGUUACUGCUGUGACAGGACAAGAAAGACAGCCUGCUAAUACAGAAAUACACACCAAAUUUUAACAAAGCGAGAUUGCUUAUAUGUUUUUCAUUUGCAUGUGAAUAAUGGAAUUUAGGUUCUUGUAAGGGAUAACAAUUAAAUGAAGCAUUUUGCUUUGGUGUUUUCAUUCCAAAAUGGGGUAUGUGAUGAAAGAGAUGCAGAAAGAAAGAUAUAUUUACUCUGAGAGCAUUGAUCUGCAUCUGUACAUUGUCUGAUCAUGUCUUGAUAGACUUGGAUCCAUUCUUCCUCCUUGGGAAGCAUGAACUGUUGAGCAGGUAACCUAAUGUACUAAACUGUCUAGCUCAGUAUCACUGGUUAAAACUCCUCUUUAGCAUAUACUUGGAGCACAGCAAGAACUGAAAUCUGUAUUUUCCAUCCUAUGUUGGCUCAGUUGAAUGUUGCAUAGGCUCAAGGGCUGUGUUUGUAAUAGUAUUUUAGGGCAGGGGCAGUAGUCUUUCGAGCCCAACUGCAGUGGCUGAGAUUGCUUCUGUACAGCUGAACUUUCGUGGACAUACGGGAAUGAGUCCAGUGAAGGACGAUGGAGAUGGAGCAUUCAUCAUAUGAUGAGAGGCUGAGAGAGCUGGCAUUGUUCAGUCUGGAGAAGAGGUGGCUCAAGGGGGAUCUUAUCAAUGUUUAUAAAUACCUCAUGCAAGGGGAAUAAAGAAGACAGAGCCAGACUCUUCUCAGUGGUGCCCAGUGACAGAAGAAGAGGCAACAGGCAGGAACUGAAACAUAGGAAAUUCUACUUAAAGGUAAGAGAGAACUUUUUUAUGGUGCAGGUGGUGUAACACUGGAACAGCUUGCUCAUCAUUGCAGACCCUCAAACCCAACUGGACGCAGCCCUGAACAACUUACUGUAUCUGACCGUGCUCUCAGCCAGGGGUUGGACUGGACUCCAGAGGUCCCUGCCAACCUCAACUAUUCCGUGAUUGUAUGAAACUCACCUCCAAAGAAGGAGUCCGCAUUCAGGCUGCCUGCUGGGAAAGGUCCCUAGUACGUGCUAACUCUCAGGUGCCUGGGGGAGAGUGUAGAUACCCUGGGACAAAGCUGUGCUGUAUUUUGCCAGAGUGGGUGAUGAUGUACCAGUUCCUGGGCAUGUUUUGUGAGCCUGCAUAGUUAACUAGCCUAGAGAUAGCUAAACCACUCUGUUUGGGAAAACCUGACUGAAGAUCUGUUGGGUGUUGGGAAGAUCUCUUGGGUGUGCUGGAGGAUGACACUUAAAAUCUAUGCCUACCUCAUCCAGAAAUUGGUCUUGUGCUGAUACACCAGCUACGCUCAGGUUUUCCCUCACAGAAAGUUUGGUAGCUUGGUUGAGUUGGACCAGAGGCUGUGCUUAUUUGUAAACAAGGGGAGCAGCAUCCAAGUUUGGAUGUGACUGUGGGGUAGGUGUUGCACUUAACUGGUACUGUUGACAGAGCUGUAUCUUACUGAAUAUCUCUCGUCAAGUAUUGCAUCUCAGCAGUGUAGGUUCCUGUUUCACUGUAAGCUUUACACGUGAAGUCAUUCAGCAUCUGCUCAAUGCACUUUAGCAUGUACGACCUUGAAGCUGAGGUUUCUUUCCUAGUUUAUUUAGCAGCUUGGAGAGAUAACCUUCAUGUGCUAAUGUAAUGCCUGCAGAGGUUAAAUCUAAUGGAGAGGCAUGUGUCUAAAUUUUGUGAGACAUGGAGGCUUUCCUUGGUCAACGAGACUAUUCUCAUUAGGGAGUACUUGUGGAAGGGUGGGCUGGAUCCUGCACUAGCUUGCUGUUUUUCUGAAGCCACUGAAGUGGUGCCAUAUUCAUAUUACACAAAGUAUGACUUUUUGGAUUAACAGGGUGGUACCAGGGUGGUUCCUGUCACCUGGGAUUCAUGGGACUCAGUCACGGUUCUCCUCAAUUCCUCUGCAGGUGUCUAAGCCCUAGCUUGCCAGCAAGACACUGGAGGUUUUGGGACAGCUUGAAAGUAGAGACUGAGUUCUCUGCAAGAACCGGUGUAAGCAGGAAUUGCAGCACCAAGAUAUAGGGAGUUUUCAGGAAAGAAAAGGCAGAUUGGCAAUGACCGCAAGGGCAGGGGCUUGCUGCCCAAAAGGGUGUGGAGGAGGUUAAGGGAGGAUCAAAUGUAAGAGCAACAAGUGACUUACCAACUAAGCUAACCUCCUCUUGGGAGGGAGCAAGGUUACAGUUACCAUAGCAAUGCAAAUGAAAGGUUCUCACCAAACUCUCUGCGUGUCAGUGGCAGUAGGGAGUGUAAUUACAGCGUACAGGACUUCUGAGUCAGCUUGGCUACUGCUGGCAGUGAAGCCAGCACCAAAGUGAACAGGGGCUGUGGAAACCUAUGUGGGACUGGCUGAAGCUCAUUUCCCCUAACUUCACUGUUUGCAUAUGUGAGGUGACUAAAAUUUGCUGAGAAAGGGAGUAAGGUGGAUCAAGGAGGGAAUCGGAAUAACAUUGCCCUUGGGGGAGCAUGUGGCCUCCUGCAGCAUCCUGGGGAAACUCACUCACUGCAACAUGACGGGGAAGCAAACAAUAUAAUCCUUUCUGUACCUAGGACUGCAUAACACCUCAUGCUUGCACACAAGCAGAAGGAGGCUCCUUCACUUGGGCAUCUGCAUGAGAGUCGUGAUAUAUUUCUGUGCCUCAGCUUUUUAUCCCACAUGGUGUUUAGUUUUUCCCUGCUAGCACAGUGAAUUGGUAGCUGCUAGCUCUGUGACAACUUCCAGACAAACUCUUCUUCUUACCAGUUUGCCCUGUCCCCACUGUUGACACGAUCAGUGCUUUGUUCAAGGAUUUCACUCAUUUUCCCGAUUAGCAGCCUUUAUAUUUUUGAUGGCAAUGAACUUAGUGUCUCAGAUAUUUCUGCCUCUGUCAGGUUCUCAGUACUGUCUAGAUUUUUCAGGUAUUCAACUGUAUCUGAAUUAACUACCAUGUGCUGACAGGGUGAAAUGAAUUAAGGGCUCAUCUAAAAUAAAGAUAUGAAGAGAAUCUAUGUAUUUUUCUACUAUGUAGGAGGUUCAUAUUUGUGUAAUUCCCCUAAAAUGACUCAGAAUAUUUACAUAAGCAUCUAUUAGAUAUUAAAAGAAAAUGUCUAUCUUGCCUCACUUGGAAGUUCAUCCUGAAUAGCAAGUCCAGAAAUGUUGAUUUUCCAAUCUCUGGUUGAUUCUCUUGCUUUUAUAUGUAAGCUUUUUUUUUUAAACUGUGUAUUGUUUUUUUUAGUGUGAAUUAACUUUUCAUGGAGCAGAGAGGUGGACCAGUUCUGUUGUUCUUUAUUCGUAUACAAUUCAGUUGAGGAAAUUGGUUGCCUUAUUGGACUUCUGGUAACAUGCUCUCACAGAUUUGGAUCAGAGCCUAGAAAAUCAGCUUUGCCUGAAGUGUAGACAUCCUGUGUUUCAGGAGUGCUCCUGGAAAGCAGUUGUUGUGCGCCAGACCUUGGUUCCUUUUGGAGGAAAUAAAAGUGAAGAUCAUUCCAAAUGCUGGCGUGAUUCAGUUCUGAACCCACCUGGGGAAGCACACUGCUGUGGGUGCCUCCAACGUGCAUCUAAUGAGUGUGUGCCAAUAGAAGGCUCUCAAACCAUUGAGUGUUCCCAUGUCACCCAAAAAUGGUUCCUAUCCUAUAUGGCUGUUGUGUUCACCUUCCUAUCGGCCAUUUUUUUGCCGAAAGCUUCCUCAAACUUCCACACAGACAUCCUGCUCUGAGUUGUUGGGACUGUAUUCCCACGUGAGACCAGAAACCAGGCAGCACAGUGCUUGAGUCACCCUGGAUGGCCCGAUCUGGGUCCUCUUUGAGCUUGGUAAGUGUCCUGCUUGAGUGGUGGGAUAUUAUGCAAAAUGCAGCACCACAGUGCUUGUUUUAAAAUAUGUGAACCAUGCUCGUCUAAGCACCUGCACAGCGUCAGUUUAGCUAAAUGUCCAUACUUAUAUGUGAGCUACUCACCACAGGUUCCUUUUAUACUCAGAAGAAAAAUCAGGUGCUUUUCUGUCAUCCUUAGCAAGUCAGAUGAAUUACCCAUGGGUAUUGCUUUCUUGUCAUGAGCCUUAAAGAAGAGCCUGGCCCAAAUGGCUCAGAUAUCUAUGUUUGGUCAGAUGAUCCUAUUCCUGAUGUGUAGGUGCUGAAGUGGGGAUUAGUCACUACCAUCAGCUUAUUGUUUCUAAUCAGCUAGAUUUAACUGGCUCCCUUUGGUUUUGGGGGCUCAGAUAAGCAGACUCACCCCUGGGUAGCCUGAGCUUCCCCAGAGUACAGCAGUCAUCCUUCCCGCGGGCCGCAAACCAUCUCCGUGUUAGUCAAGGCCUCGCAUAUAGCAACUUUUUGUUGCCUAAGUCCAGCCAGGAGCCUGUACCGGUGUCUCCCCAGCGUGGGUGCCCAGGUAAGCAUUCUCCGAAUGCCCUCGCUGGGCCCAGCUCCACGCAAGACACAGCAGCAGAUCUGCUGUCGUCUCUUAUCACGUAGCGUGCCUCCCUCCCUUGCCGAAUAACAAUCCGUUUCCCAGAGCACUCCCCUGGGAUAUAGGAGACAGGGCCAAUUUCCUCCUGAGUUUCAGAGGCAGCCAGGCGCCCCCUCCUUUGGGGACUGCCCACGCAACAAGGUUAAAAUCGGUUCUCAGCGCCAACGGUCAUUGCUGUCGUAACGUUAGGGUAAUCUGCAAAAAACCCCACUGGUCCUGUGUCGGAGAAACAGCAAGUAGAUGAUUCUGUAGGUGAGGCAACAGGAGGUUCCUUGGGAAAGGAGGGAGGCACGGAGAGCACCUGAGCCCAGGUCUUUAGGCUGUGUAUGUAUUUUAAGUAGUUAUUGAACAAAAGACAGAAACAGUCAUUGGCAAAGGAGCCAGAGCACAUGACUCCCGUUUGCUAAACCAGUGCCAUAAUAAAUAGGUUAAAGAAUCCCUCUUGCUUUCUCUUUUUGGCCAAAUAAGUCUUGAACCCUAUUCUCUGGGGAGGCACAGAUUCAGCAAGAAGUGACAGCACCUCUUUUUUCUCUCUGAUGGCUGGAACUUGCUGCAUCACUGCCUUGUCCAUCCAGUUAUUAUCCCUGCUGGUUCAUAAGAGCCUGUGCCAGCUUCUGCUUCUGCUAGUGCCAGCCUCAGGCUGGGGAAUGCUUAUUAUCAUUUCCUCUGCUGGAUGUGCUACUCAUUCAUCUGUCCUACUCAGGAUUUUAAUUUAGUUUAUUCCAAAAGGGAUAGAAGGAAGCUUGUAAACAUAAAAGAAAACUGUUCUCAGCAUAGUUCAAAUGCAGGCACUACCUGGAAGAGCUUGAAAUCCUGUUAACAUACCUGCCUAAUAAUAUGCCUUGGUUGAGUCUCAAGGUUUGAGAAAUUGAACGGGCAUCCAAAAUUUUGAACAGUCAGAACAUUAACUUCUAAGGCUUGUGGCUGGCUAAUGUGCUUUCCCUGUGUUUAGUCUUUCGAGCAGGAUGUGACACCUUUUACAACAUUUGCUCAGUGCUAGUUUGUAAUUCAGUAUAAAGCAGGUUCCCGAUUCAGAGUUAUUUCUGUGUAUGCUAUCUUACUGCUAACAUCAUUACUAUUGCCAGACUUGUGUAUACAGACUUACAAGGAUUCCACUCUUCAGAGCAUCUUCUUUCAGUUUUACACAAGCUUUAAGAAAGAAAGGUUUUGACCAACAAACAUUUCUCUCCAACUAAUUGAAGAUACAAAGCUCUCCUGGCUACGUGAAGUUAGCAGCACAGUAUUGUGAGCAGGAGAGAAUCAGACCUCCUGAGGGGCAUGAAUUAGGAGAUUUGCUACUUGCAUACUAAGUGAAUUAGGGAUGAGAUUAUACAUGUAAUGAUCUGCUUUUUACUCAGGGUAAUGCAGCUCUGAGUUCACUGGGGAACAAAGACAUGAAUGCUUGUUCAAUUGAGAAUUGUGUAGAAGUCCUGUGAUUGUUUUAGUUGAGACUUUUGACUGAAGGCUUACUAGGGCAGGUUAGAGUAAUCACACAAAGUUUAUGCUUAUGUGCUUUUAUAUUUAAUGUGGCAGUGAUGCAAAUGUAAAAGUUUAAUCAAGAGCCUAUGCAUAGCUUGAAAUAUGACUGUGUAAAGUAAAAGUCUAGGUACAAAAUAAAACGUGUCAGUGGCAGUUCUCUGAAACUCCUUUUUCUAAGAUGAUACCUUCAACAUCUGUUGGUCAUCUCAUUGUGUGAGGCAGAGGAAUAUGUGAGUGUGAAAGGGGUAAAAUACUUUCACCCCUUCUGCUUUUGUUCUUUAAAAGUAAGGAGCCUUAAUUUACAAGGGUGCUAAUUCAUGUCAUUUUUGUUUCUACUGUACAGACUUACAAAAUUCUGGUAAUAUUUACUGCAGCGUUCAGCAGCAUGAACCUAAUAAAAGAACAGGUGUCCAGUGCUCUCUGAACUAAUAGCCUGUGCUUUGCUGACUCUUUGACACAUUGGUUAACACUUUGGCUGUGAAGUUAGAGAGGAGAAGCAAACUUGAAGGCAGAUGUACAGUCUUCAUGAAAUGAAAAGAUUUAUCUAGAAGAGUUUUGACAAGCUUUUGGGUCAUCUGAAGGAGAGCUUGUGUACCUGAAAUUUAGUUUGUUUUUCCCAACAAUGUAACUUGAUCUAAUAAAAAUACUACUUCUCCCCACAAA